GAUGGACGCUGGCGGCGUGCCUAAUACAUGCAAGUCGAGCGAACAGACGAGGAGCUUGCUCCUCUGACGUUAGCGGCGGACGGGUGAGUAACACGUGGAUAACCUACCUAUAAGACUGGGAUAACUUCGGGAAACCGGAGCUAAUACCGGAUAAUAUAUUGAACCGCAUGGUUCAAUAGUGAAAGACGGUUUUGCUGUCACUUAUAGAUGGAUCCGCGCCGCAUUAGCUAGUUGGUAAGGUAACGGCUUACCAAGGCAACGAUGCGUAGCCGACCUGAGAGGGUGAUCGGCCACACUGGAACUGAGACACGGUCUAGACUCCUACGGGAGGCAGCAGUAGGGAAUCUUCCGCAAUGGGCGAAAGCUUGACGGAGCAACGCCGCGUGAGUGAUGAAGGUCUUCGGAUCGUAAAACUCUGUUAUUAGGGAAGAACAAAUGUGUAAGUAACUAUGCACGUCUUGACGGUACCUAAUCAGAAAGCCACGGCUAACUACGUG
RNAcentral lists this ribosomal RNA (497 nucleotides) under uncultured bacterium. RNAcentral describes it as "partial 16S ribosomal RNA". It matches the Rfam family "Bacterial small subunit ribosomal RNA", at positions 28 to 507 of the family's 1533-position model. The record is from RNAcentral.